ACUCCUACGGGAGGCAGCAGUGGGGAAUAUUGCACAAUGGGCGCAAGCCUGAUGCAGCCAUGCCGCGUGUAUGAAGAAGGCCUUCGGGUUGUAAAGUACUUUCAGCGGGGAGGAAGGCAAUACGGUUAAUAACCGUGUUGAUUGACGUUACCCGCAGAAGAAGCACCGGCUAACUCCGUGCCAGCAGCCGCGGUAAUACGGAGGGUGCAAGCGUUAAUCGGAAUUACCGGGCGUAAAGCGCACGCAGGCGGUCUGUCAAGUCGGAUGUGAAAUCCCCGGGCUCAACCUGGGAACUGCAUUCGAAACUGGCAGGCUUGAGUCUUGUAGAGGGGGGUAGAAUUCCAGGUGUAGCGGUGAAAUGCGUAGAGAUCUGGAGGAAUACCGGUGGCGAAGGCGGCCCCCUGGACAAAGACUGACGCUCAGGUGCGAAAGCGUGGGGAGCAAACAGGAUUAGAAACCCGUGUAGUCCCAUG
RNAcentral lists this ribosomal RNA (473 nucleotides) under uncultured organism. Its description in RNAcentral is "partial 16S ribosomal RNA". It matches the Rfam family "Bacterial small subunit ribosomal RNA", at positions 335 to 799 of the family's 1533-position model. The record is from RNAcentral.